Molecule: ribosomal RNA, 1162 nt
Filed under: Arthrobacter luteolus
Lineage: Bacteria; Bacillati; Actinomycetota; Actinomycetes; Micrococcales; Micrococcaceae
Description: bacterial SSU rRNA
Rfam family: Bacterial small subunit ribosomal RNA
Source: RNAcentral
UUCGGGAUAAGCCUGGGAAACUGGGUCUAAUACCGGAUACGACCACCUGGCGCAUGCCAUGGUGGUGGAAAGCUUUAUGCGGUUUUGGAUGGACUCGCGGCCUAUCAGCUUGUUGGUGGGGUAAUGGCCCACCAAGGCGACGACGGGUAGCCGGCCUGAGAGGGUGACCGGCCACACUGGGACUGAGACACGGCCCAGACUCCUACGGGAGGCAGCAGUGGGGAAUAUUGCACAAUGGGCGAAAGCCUGAUGCAGCGACGCCGCGUGAGGGAUGACGGCCUUCGGGUUGUAAACCUCUUUCAGCAGGGAAGAAGCGAAAGUGACGGUACCUGCAGAAGAAGCGCCGGCUAACUACGUGCCAGCAGCCGCGGUAAUACGUAGGGCGCAAGCGUUAUCCGGAAUUAUUGGGCGUAAAGAGCUCGUAGGCGGUUUGUCGCGUCUGCUGUGAAAGCCCGGGGCUCAACCCCGGGUCUGCAGUGGGUACGGGCAGACUAGAGUGCAGUAGGGGAGACUGGAAUUCCUGGUGUAGCGGUGAAAUGCGCAGAUAUCAGGAGGAACACCGAUGGCGAAGGCAGGUCUCUGGGCUGUAACUGACGCUGAGGAGCGAAAGCAUGGGGAGCGAACAGGAUUAGAUACCCUGGUAGUCCAUGCCGUAAACGUUGGGCACUAGGUGUGGGGGACAUUCCACGUUUUCCGCGCCGUAGCUAACGCAUUAAGUGCCCCGCCUGGGGAGUACGGCCGCAAGGCUAAAACUCAAAGGAAUUGACGGGGGCCCGCACAAGCGGCGGAGCAUGCGGAUUAAUUCGAUGCAACGCGAAGAACCUUACCAAGGCUUGACAUGAACCGGAAAGGCCUGGAAACAGGUCCCCCACUUGUGGCCGGUUUACAGGUGGUGCAUGGUUGUCGUCAGCUCGUGUCGUGAGAUGUUGGGUUAAGUCCCGCAACGAGCGCAACCCUCGUUCUAUGUUGCCAGCGCGUUAUGGCGGGGACUCAUAGGAGACUGCCGGGGUCAACUCGGAGGAAGGUGGGGACGACGUCAAAUCAUCAUGCCCCUUAUGUCUUGGGCUUCACGCAUGCUACAAUGGCCGGUACAAAGGGUUGCGAUACUGUGAGGUGGAGCUAAUCCCAAAAAGCCGGUCUCAGUUCGGAUUGAGGUCUGCAA